CAGCAGCCGCGGUAAUACGUAGGUGGCAAGCGUUGUCCGGAAUUAUUGGGCGUAAAGGGCUCGCAGGCGGUUUCUUAAGUCUGAUGUGAAAGCCCCCGGCUCAACCGGGGAGGAUCAUUGGAAACUGGGAAACUUGAGUGCAGAAGAGGAGAGUGGAAUUCCACGUGUAGCGGUGAAAUGCGUAGAGAUGUGGAGGAACACCAGUGGCGAAGGCGACUCUCUGGUCUGUAACUGACGCUGAGGAGCGAAAGCGUGGGGAGCGAACAGGAUUAGAUACCCCCGUAGUCCCUGUCUCUUAUAC
RNAcentral lists this ribosomal RNA (301 nucleotides) under uncultured bacterium. RNAcentral's name for it is "partial 16S ribosomal RNA". It matches the Rfam family "Bacterial small subunit ribosomal RNA", at positions 509 to 807 of the family's 1533-position model. The record is from RNAcentral.